CCUACGGGAGGCAGCAGUGGGGGAUAUUGCACAAUGGGGGAAACCCUGAUGCAGCGACGCCGCGUGGGUGAAGAAGCGCCUCGGCGCGUAAAGCCCUGUCAGCAGGGAAGAAAAUGACGGUACCUGAAGAAGAAGCCCCGGCUAACUACGUGCCAGCAGCCGCGGUAAUACGUAGGGGGCAAGCGUUAUCCGGAUUUACUGGGUGUAACGGGGGCGCAGACGGGGUUGCAAGCCAGGAGGGAAAGCCCGGGGCCCAACCCCGGGACUGCACUUGAAACUGGGUGGCUAGAGUGCAGGAGGGGCAGGCGGAAUUCCUGGUGUAGCGGUGAAAUGCGGAGAUAUCAGGAGGAACACCGGUGGCGAAGGCGGCCUGCUGGACUGCAACUGACGUUGAGGCCCGAAAGCGUGGGGAGCAAACAGGAUUAGAUACCCUUGUAGUC
Molecule: ribosomal RNA, 440 nt
Filed under: uncultured bacterium
Lineage: Bacteria
Description: partial 16S ribosomal RNA
Rfam family: Bacterial small subunit ribosomal RNA
Source: RNAcentral